Molecule: long non-coding RNA, 423 nt
Filed under: Ricinus communis (castor bean)
Lineage: Eukaryota; Viridiplantae; Streptophyta; Magnoliopsida; Malpighiales; Euphorbiaceae
Description: long non-coding RNA (RCOM_LNC003054)
Source: RNAcentral
UAUGUUUGGUUCACUAUUAAAUAAAUAUGAUUGACAGGGUUUUAGCGUUACAGGCACAGAGAUGAUUAUGUUUCCACUAGCAAGUCAAAAAGAAAUUUAAGUAAAGCAAAGAAAGAAGGAAAUGGUCACAAAUGAUAAGUCUUUUCUCUUUUUUGACCAGUUUCUGCUUGUUUGUUUUUUUUUUCUUUUAACAUCCACCAUCACAUGUAAUGCAAGCAUUUUUUGUUGUUAGGCUACAGUACAAUUGAUGGAAGUGAAGCACACAUAUAUAGAGGUUUUUUUUACCCUUCUAAUUUCUCUCAAUCUCUACCUAAACAAACAGCACUUUGUCUUAUAGAGUAGAAAACCACCAAAGAAAAAUUGACACUUCUUCUGGGUCCUGAACUGACCUCAUUUUUGUGACUUCUCCUCCUCCUCUGCUNN